Molecule: long non-coding RNA, 2099 nt
Filed under: Gallus gallus (chicken)
Lineage: Eukaryota; Metazoa; Chordata; Aves; Galliformes; Phasianidae
Description: lncRNA (ENSGALG00010009960.1)
Source: RNAcentral
GGCUGAUCUUCCUAAAUCAAGUGGGUUCAUAUUUAAUAUCGCACUUGUAUCAUAUCAUAUCAGUGUAAUGCCAUGGCGUAGCCUUAGUGAAGAGUGGCUGGAAAGUUGCCUGUCAGAAGAGGAUCUGGGUUUGCUGAUCGGCAGCUGGCUGAACAGGAACCAACAGUGUGCUCAUGUGGCCACGAACACCAAGGAUAUAUAGACCUGCAUCAGAAAUAGUAUAGCAGCAGAAUAUGAGAAGGAACAGACCCUUGCAUAUGGUGAGACCAUACCUUGAAUACUCUGUUUUUGGGUCCCUCAUUACAAGAAGGAUAUGUAGUUGCUCCAGUGUGUGCAGAGAAUAGAAACAAUGUUGGUGAAGAGAUUAAGAAACAAGACUUAGAGGAGUGGUUGAGGCAAGUGGGGCUACAGAAAAGAAGACUGUGAAGAGACCUCAUUGCUCUCUUACAGCUAUCUGAAAGGAGGUUGGAGCAAGGAGGGGAUCAGCCUCUUUUCUGAGGUGACAGGUAAUAUGGCAUGAAGCAACAGCCUCAACAGGAGAUUUUGAUUGGAUAUCAGGAAUAAUUUCUUCACAGACAGAGUGAUCAGGCAAUGGAAUAGACUGCCCGAGGAAAUGGUGAAGUCUCCAAUGAAGAGAUUUAAGAGAUGCACAAUGACAUCUGUCAAAACCUUAAGACCAUUCAAGGCAGAUGUUUACAUGGACCAUGACUCCAGAUGUCACAAGCAGCCUGGUGAUAGGGAUUCCCAAAGCAUCUUACAGACUCUCUGAGAGAUUAUCUGUCUUCCUUAAAGCAGAGGAGAAGCUCUUGUUAGACCUUACAUCUGGACAUAAAAUAGAAAUAAAGAGAGCUACCAUUAUGACUUGUAGCUCGUGGGAUAGGAAAAUGAGUGUUGUUUGAAUGCACCCAUCUAUCCUCCCUACGGUUUGGAAUGAUGACAGAAAUGACAUGGACUGACAGAUUUAGAAGUUAAUUAUCCCAGCGUAAUAAUUAAAAAUGUUUGUCAUUUAUUCACAGUUCUAAGCAGGUCAUCCAGUAGUUUCAGUCUCUAUACCAUGUUUCUAUUUGAUGACUAAUGAAACUGAACUACUGAACUACUUGCCAAAAGCUUUUUUUUUUUUUUUUUUUAAUCUAAUGUUGCAUCUUUUGCAGUAAGGUUUUAUUUUCUAUGACUCUAACAAAACAUUCUAGUGAAUAUUUUCAGUAAAGAAUAUUCCCUUGAGAAUCAUCUUGGUGAUUUCCUCAGCCAGUAGGUCAGUAAGCUGCUUGUUUCUAAAGGAAACAUAAAGAUUUCAGUUAAUAAUGGGACAUAUUUUCUUUGUAGUUUUGUGCCAUCAGUGAGGUAGAGAAAUCUCAUCUGUACACAUUGCUCUUGACAUCACAUAAGGUUUUGGAGGAAGGCAGACUUUUGUGCAGUGGAUUUGCUGAAUGCUGUCCAGUUAUUCUGCAAUGAAGAUGGUGUGACAUCUUCUCAGCAAGUGAUAUUUUAGAGCACUUCCAAAGUUUUAUCAUGUAUAUGUCUUAUGGCAUUGAUAAGGAAAAAUGUAUUUAUAUUAAAUCACUCAGGGCUUACUUUGCGUAAGGAUUUUUUGCCCAUUGUAUACUUUCUGAGUAAACGUACUUCUAAUUUAUUUUAAGACUCACUGACUUUCAACUUUUUUUAAUUUUCAAAACUGAUUUCAGUAAACUUAUCUCUUACUGAAAGAGUCGAGAACACAAUGCACCAAUUUCUUAGAAAGACAUAAUCAAAUAAAUGUUUUCUGAAAUUCCUGACACUUUCUUAAUCUUUAAUAAUACCUUUGCUGCUUCAAAUAUAUGAGAUACUUUGCAAAGACCUGUGCAAGCAUUUCCAGAAAGUGCAGAGUUGUAUGUAUUUUAUUUCUAGCAUGCAGUACUUGCCAGGACCAGUAAUCUUACAACAUUUUAAUUAUAUUCUGUGGACUCUCGUGAUGCAAUAUAUAAAUAGUUCAAAAAGUGAUAAGAUACUGUAAUUUAUCUGCAACUGAUUUGCAACUUAUCUGUCAACAUGAUUCAUAUUUCCUUUUUUUUUUUUUUUUCAGUCUUUCAAACAUUUUUGUUUUCAGGUAUCUGCAGUAGAGC